Molecule: long non-coding RNA, 852 nt
Filed under: Ananas comosus (pineapple)
Lineage: Eukaryota; Viridiplantae; Streptophyta; Magnoliopsida; Poales; Bromeliaceae
Description: long non-coding RNA (ACOM_LNC041337)
Source: RNAcentral
AUAUAGUAGAUGUAAAAUAACUAAAUUGCCCAUGUAUUAAAAGACAAAAAUAUCCUUUUUUGAGGUACCUGGUAACCGGUACCUCUCCCAAAGUAACCUGCUAUUGCAGAUCACAAUUUUAAAAAAACUAAAUCUGAACCGUUGAAUACGUUUCACAACAAAAAAAAAAAAGAGUAUAGAAGCAUUACUCUUUUCUUUAUGCAAGGACUGCAAAAACUAUCCUAAUCAUAAUGCAAGCAACGAUCAAUGCUAGAAAUACACUCAAAAGGUAGGUAUGAAUCCUAUCGCCCACCGAUCCAAGGGGGAGGUUCUCUCCACUAGUCACAUCAUAUGACUAGUGGACAACUCUCUAUCUUUCCAAUUGUAGGAUGUCUACUUUUGAGUGUACAUUUAGGGCAUGUUUGGUUCGCUCAUUUUUCACUCUGGAAUCGGAAUUGAAAUGGACGAAUCUGUUUGUCCGUAUUUGAUAUGCAGGAUUUUUAUUCCGAUUCCGAUUUCCGGGUAAAUGGGAAUCCCCCCUAAUUACCCUCUUUUCCAAUCCGGUCUAAGAGGUCGGAUUGGCAAUUGAAUUCAGGCGGAAUAGAUUUGUUCGGGUUAAAUUUAACUUUUUUAAACUUAUUUUUUAAUUAAAAUAUUAGUUUAAGUUUAAAAAUUAUAUUUAUAAAUUUUAAUUUUAAUUUAAACUUAAAUUAAAAAUUAAAAUUCAAUCAAGCAUUUCGAAUCUAAUUUAUAAAUUUGAAUUUGAAUUUAAAUUUAAAUUUAAAUUUAAAAUAUAAAAUUUUAUUCAAAUUUUAUUUAAAAUUUAAAUUAAAUUUACGGAUUCAAAUUGAAAUUGAAUGUAGUAUUAUGAUA